GGGCAACAAGAAGUGUUCGAGCCUCGGGUGCCAUGGGAUGGUGCCCCUGAGAUGUCUCAGAUCUGCAGUCAGCAGACGUGUUCGGUCAAGAGCCACACAACCAGCAGAGACCUCCCUUUGGUGUUUCACGUGCAUCCCUGGUGGCCGUCACGACAAUCAUCCGACCCGACAGCCAACUGUCUCCCCACCGGAUGCCUAUGCUGGCUGGAAGCAAGAGGGAGAACACACAUUGAGAAUGCUCGCUUGCGCUUCCUUUCCAAAGAAAAUGAUACAAGAGGCUACUUCUCACGGCCACACAUUCCUCUCCGGUGAAGACAAUGUUACACUGGAAAGUCUUCUAGAGGAUGGAUGGCAACGAACCCCGAUGGUGGUGAUCAUUUCACGAUAGAUGUGGAAACAAAAACCCACCACGCUGGACCCCUCACACGUCUACAGGGAUGCCAGGAGGGUUUUGCUACACGCUCAAACCUGGACCACAGAAGGGCCACGUGUGCUCGUGGCAAUACGUCAUGCACUCCUACUGGAAAACAGCUUUCACUCCACAGGGACAUACUUUUCUUUUUCAUAAAGAAUGUGCAUCAGAGCAAAACAAAGUUGGAAUACUCAAUUUUAAAAUUAGUCACAUAAAUCCCAACACAUUCUGUAACUGUCACUUUCCAUGUCCCAACAUAACGCUACAAAGUGUUAUAUGUGGUAUGAGAAUUUGUUAUAAAUUCCUUUUUCUUAAAUAUUGCUUUAAGAAUUUGGCUCUUUUCUCCUUAGGAUAUAGUAAGAAAUAGUCUUCCUUGCCCAAGGGCAAGUUCCAAAAUUAUUGCUACUAAAGAAAUAUGUAUUCUUACGCUUUUCAGCAUAAAAUGUUAUAAAAGCCUCGUAAAAGAUAUUCUAUAUAGUAACCUCCCCUCUAAAAAAAUUGAGUGCUUGUGAAGACCAUUUUAAAAACAAAACACAGUCAACAAGUAAUAUAUUUUCCCCCUCAUUGUCAUUAUGGAUGAAGAUUUAUUAGUUUCGUUUUGCAAGUUUUACUUGAAGGAUUCUAUUACCAUGUAUUAGGACGGUUCUCACCGAAAGAAAUUUUCUAUAAAAGAUCUUACAGUGACCCCCCUGGUACUUGUCUCAUUUCAUGUUUGAUAAGCCACGUGCACGAAUAAAAUUCUCCAAGAAUUAUCCUUGUUUAACCUGACUCUUGUCCCUUUUAAAAAAAAAAAAAAAUCUGUUCUGUGUAGGCUUUCUUUUUUUUUCCCCCCCGUUUUUGAGCAUCUAAAUCAGUACAAUGUUUGAUGUUAGACCUGUUGUCCUGGAGACCAACUAAAACAAAAGCAGAGUUAUUGUUUAGCUUUGGUAUAUUCUGCAAUAGAUUUAAACACGUAGGAUAUAUACCAACCCUUAUAUCUUCCAACCGUGGAGUUACAAUGAUGGAAUAAGUCACUUAAUGAGAGAGGAAAUAUUACAGACACAGAAUAAAAGUUUGAGACCCAGUUUUUCUUUAAUCCUCUGGGAUAAGCUAUGAAACAAGCAGUCUGAAGAGUGAAUACUCAGUGUCAUGAAUGAUGUGCAUAAGUUUACAAUAAUACGGGCACAAAAGAGAUUGUCGCCUUUAGUACAUUAGGGUCAUUAGAAUUUCUCACAUCCAUGCACCGUUAUUUACUUGCAUGAAUUUACCACAGGUUCGUAGCGGACUUUGCCAUUUAAUGCUUACAGAGCCUAAAGCUUCCAAAAUGCCUAUCUGGCCUGUACAUAUUUCAUUAAAAAUAAACUCUAUAUAAUAAAUAAAUAUAUAAAAUAAAUAAAAUGUUGCCUUUGGAAUUUCUAUAAAUAAAUUUAACUUUUUUUUUGUUUUGUUUUGUAUUUGUUUUCUCGUUUUUUUGUUUUUUGCCUAAGAGGUCUUUGCUUUCAAUUCACUGGGAUGGCACCAGCGAGCAUGAACUGAAAAAGUCUCUGAAGUAAGACUGCACCCUCCACACCUCUGAAAACGCAGCGUGCCCUUGCGAAGGCCACCAGCCCCGAUCCUGAUGAGUCGAAGUAUGGCUGUGCGGAUACAGGAUGAAGUACAACUGAUCAAAAAUGUAAAAGCGCGUCUAAAUCCCAGCAUGCAUCAGGCCGUUGUCCUCUCUGCCUCUCUCUUCAGUUCCCCCUGCUACUCAUCCACGCACACACUCGCACCCCCGCUCAGUCUCCCCCUCCUCCUCGCACAAGAAAUCGAGCAAGUGGGCAGCGGCCGGCCUCCGGGAGGACCAGCCUGUAAGUGCAGAACAGAAUCGGCAUGUUCCCGUCCAAGCCUCCAUCGGACAUCAUGCAUGCGGCAAAGUUUGGCAACAGUGGAGCUGGGGUGACCCCCCAGCUAAUCGAGAAGAACCCACCGCGUGAAACCUUUAUAGUGGUUACUUUUUUUAAGGGCUC
Long non-coding RNA from Panthera leo (lion), 2397 nucleotides. Lineage: Eukaryota; Metazoa; Chordata; Mammalia; Carnivora; Felidae. The record is from Ensembl.